RNAcentral lists this unclassified non-coding RNA (275 nucleotides) under Trypanosoma rangeli. Lineage: Eukaryota; Euglenozoa; Kinetoplastea; Trypanosomatida; Trypanosomatidae. The record is from RNAcentral.
GCGGGGCACACAUGUAUAUUACAAAUGCACAAGCUGCUGCUAUUGUAUUAUUAUUAUUAUCGAUGUAUCCGUAUGGUUACUUAUUACUAUAUACAGAGAGCGCAUUGUGCAAGAUGAGGCGUGGCUCUGCACAACGCCGUAGAUGGUGGGGGGAGGGGGCUAUGGGAGAGAGCGCGCAGCUCUCUCAACACUGAAAACGGGAGGAGUGGGUACGACCAUACUUGGCCGAAUGCACCACAUCCCGUCCGAUUUGUGAAGUUAAGCGGUCCCCGGCC